CAUUACCGAGUUUACAACUCCCAAACCCCUGUGAACAUACCUUAAUGUUGCCUCGGCGGAUCAGCCCGCGCCCCGUAAAACGGGACGGCCCGCCAGAGGACCCAAACUCUAAUGUUUCUUAUUGUAACUUCUGAGUAAAACAAACAAAUAAAUCAAAACUUUCAACAACGGAUCUCUUGGUUCUGGCAUCGAUGAAGAACGCAGCAAAAUGCGAUAAGUAAUGUGAAUUGCAGAAUUCAGUGAAUCAUCGAAUCUUUGAACGCACAUUGCGCCCGCUGGUAUUCCGGCGGGCAUGCCUGUUCGAGCGUCAUUUCAACCCUCAAGCCCCCGGGUUUGGUGUUGGGGAUCGGCUCUGCCUUCUGGCGGCGCCGCCCCCGAAAUACAUUGGCGGUCUCGCUGCAGCCUCCAUUGCGUAGUAGCUAACACCUCGCAACUGGAACGCGGCGCGGCCAUGCCGUAAAACCCCAACUUCUGAAUGUUGACCUCGGAUCAGGUAGGAAUACCCGCUGAACUUAAGCAUAUCAA
Molecule: ribosomal RNA, 525 nt
Filed under: Fusarium torulosum
Lineage: Eukaryota; Fungi; Ascomycota; Sordariomycetes; Hypocreales; Nectriaceae
Description: eukaryotic LSU rRNA
Rfam family: 5.8S ribosomal RNA (bases 157-310)
Source: RNAcentral